Molecule: non-coding RNA, 37 nt
Filed under: unclassified sequences
Description: abiF RNA
Rfam family: abiF RNA
Source: Rfam by way of RNAcentral
CCCACCAAGCCUCUCAACGAUGCACAAAUGUGCGGGG